Molecule: long non-coding RNA, 1785 nt
Filed under: Dermacentor andersoni
Lineage: Eukaryota; Metazoa; Arthropoda; Arachnida; Ixodida; Ixodidae
Description: uncharacterized LOC126545458
Source: RNAcentral
AAAGAAGAGGGCAAAAUUAUCAUUGCUAAUUAGAUAUUAUACUCUUUAUUAUUAAGUUUAUUGUUUCUUUGUUACUAUAAACGCAAAUAGCAUUCAGUAUCAUCGAUCUUCCAUGUGACCUCUGGCCUGGAUUUAAAAUUUUUACCGGUAUUUUCGAGUGCAUGGCGGCACGGAUUCAUUCGUUCGUACACUUAGGCUUGUUGCUUCUUUGUUGCUAAAGCUAGUUUAUUACGCUUUGAUGUCUCACAUUAUUUAACUUGGGGUGAAGUGACAUAUUUGCAAGCAGAUAUGUAAGCCUGAAAGCUAGGUUUCGGUCGUGAGCCAUACGGAACGCGUCUGCAUUGGAACGGGAGCUGGAUUCUGCUGCGGCUGACAACGGCAGUAACGGUGAGUCGUUUAACACUGCUGCUUGAAUUGUUAUAUAAUAUUCGUCUCAUUAACUUACAGGCAGAGACAAGUUAACAAACUAGAUCCUGCAUUACAUAUGGGCAGUCAGGACCCUCCGUUGCUGUUUCCUUAAUAAACCUUUAGUUGCGAAGCCGUCGUGAUACACACAAUCAUGAAGGAAAGAGAGAGCGAUAUUGGGACGCGCGUCACAUAUUUAAUCUUAUUGUAGCCGUGGCCAUAGGUGACUGAGUAGCCUUAUGAAUAUAUAUAUAAAAAUUUUUUUCGAAUCUGCCGGCAACUUCUUUCGUCCACAAAAUCUAUAAUCCUUUGGUAAAAUGAAGUGAAAGUGCAGAAUUUAAUGUAUUAAACAGUUGCAAGCGUGCUAAUUCACCCAUAUUUCUAACUUGUUGGUUCCAUAUGUUCUUGCUGUCCAGUUUGGUUUACCAUAGGGCAUUCAUUUUUGCAGUAGUGAAGUGGUGCAUAACGUUCGUGUAGAAAAAGAAUGCAUCAGUUCUAAUAGCUUCAUGACUUUUAUGCAUUUGCUUAUGGAACUAGCAGCGUGAUCUCUUCUAGUGUGUAAAUGAGCGCACAAACGUUCUCAUUUGUGAUCUUAAUAAUACUUAAGCUGUUGACAUGCAUUGUAGUGAGGCAGACAUCAAUUUUAUGGACAGUAGCAAUAUUUAUUUAACAUGCUGCUUAAGCACCCUAGAACAAACAGUGUACAUUUGCAUGUUUUCUGUAGUUGCAAACCAUUACAAUAUAUAUGUCACACCUUUUUGCAUUUCAUAUUGCAAAAUUCUGCUUUUUCAAUUUCUGAUGCAGUCAAAAUUUCUGUUCCAGACAUGCAGUAAUGAGGACGGAACCAGUGUAAAGCAACUCACUCCAUGAACUAAAGAGAAGCUGCUGCCUGCUAAACAAGGCCAUUGUGUGAACUUUGGCUGCUACUCCAAGGAGCUCCCAUCUACACCAACAGGAAGGGGCUGGAGCCGAAUUUGCAAGGCUUUUACACCACGAACAUAGAAGCGGAUACAGAAGAAUCUGGAUGAGAUAUCAAGUCUGUGGAGGAUUGUGUCAAGACUGAAAAGAGCUUCAGCCACCAUUCCACCAGCACGGACAUUGGCCAAGUCUUCCAGGAGGACGUGUAUUUAAUUUAAAGGGGAGCAUUAAGGAUGCUUUUGAAAUAUCACGGAGAGCAGCACAUGAAAAGCCUGGCACGAGCGAAGAUACCUCUCCAGGACAGCAGGCCCAAAAUCUACUACAGCCCCUACUGCUCCCCCGGGAAAAUCAGUGAUGUGAUAUUGAAGGUAGAGCGCCGUAAGCUGUGAGAAAGGUAUAAUCCGGCAUGACUGACUCAGCACUAGCGCCACAAGUACGAGAAAGUUUAUUCGACGUACACCC